This 627-nucleotide ribosomal RNA is filed under the name Hymenoplia pseudocinerascens. Its description in RNAcentral is "partial 16S ribosomal RNA". It matches the Rfam family "Bacterial large subunit ribosomal RNA", at positions 1819 to 2732 of the family's 2925-position model. Lineage: Eukaryota; Metazoa; Arthropoda; Insecta; Coleoptera; Scarabaeidae. The record is from RNAcentral.
GUCUUUUUGAGAAUAAUAUAAAGUCUGACCUGCCCAAUGAUGAUUUAAAUGGCCGCGGUAUUUUGACCGUGCAAAGGUAGCAUAAUAAUUAGUUUUUUAAUUGAAAGCUGGAAUGAAUGGUUGGACGAGAAAAUAACUGUCUCAAGUUAAUUUAAUUAGAAUUUUAUUUUUAAGUAAAAAAGCUUAAAUUUUUUUAAAAGACGAGAAGACCCUAUAGAGCUUUAUAUAUUUAUAAUUAAAGAUAAUGUGGGAUUUUAGGGUUUUUAUUUUUAAAUGUAUUUUAUUGGGGUGAUAAAAAAAUUAAUAAAACUUUUUUUUUAUAUUUACAUUAAUUUAUGAUUUGUUGAUCCAUUUUUUAUGAUUAAAAGAUUAAGUUACCUUAGGGAUAACAGCGUAAUUUUUUUUUAGAGUUCUUAUCGAAAGAAGAGAUUGCGACCUCGAUGUUGGAUUAAAAUUAAUAUUUGGUGAAGAUGCUAGAUAAUUAGGUCUGUUCGACCUUUAAAAUUUUACAUGAUCUGAGUUUAAACCGGUGUAAGCCAGGUUGGUUUCUAUCUUUAAAUAAUUAAAAUAUUUUAGUACGAAAGGACCAAAUAUUUAUAAGAUUUAUUUAAUUUGGAAUAAUAUUAA